RNAcentral lists this ribosomal RNA (114 nucleotides) under Caerostris darwini. The record is from RNAcentral. Lineage: Eukaryota; Metazoa; Arthropoda; Arachnida; Araneae; Araneidae.
AACGGCCGUACCAUGCUGAAUAUACCGGUUCUCGUUAGAUCACCGAAGUCAAGCAUCAUUGGGCGCGAAGUCAGUACUUGGGUGGGUGACCACCUGGGAACAUUGCGUGCCGUU